AGAUGAUCUCUUAUGGUUUCAUUUGUAUCAGACAUGAAUUUUAGAGUAAUUUUGGACUGCAGGUCUUCACAGCUUUAUCUCCUUUGAGGAAGAGGUUUUCCAAACUUGUGGUCUCAAAGCAGCAUUCAGUUCUCACUCCUUAAUCAGAAAGAGGGUUUGUUUACAAAGUUCACAGUCAUAAAGUCUUACUGGUGGAUUGGCACUGAGAUGGUUUGGGCAGUCUCCUAAGAAACUAAAUUACUUGUGCAGCAUUUUGAGAAGAGGGCAGGUGUUUGAGUUGUAGAGUUCAGCUGAGGUUUUCUAAGUCAAAGCUAGAAAGGAAUAGGAAGGUAGAGGAAGGCUGUUCUUCCCUGAUAAUUUCAAGGCAGGUGUACCAUAGAGAUGUCACUGGAGAUGGAUAUCCCUUCUACUCUUCUCAGGAAUAUUCUAAUUCAUCUGCAGAGCACACAGAUCCAGGUUCCAAAGAAUAAAUUAGUGCUAAAAAUGGGUGUGAAAUUGAAGUUAUUCCAGCAGAUAUGGCCUUCUAGGAGAUGAAAUCUCUUGCUAACUUAAAAACAAGGUGACUUUGUUUCCCUGCUGUAGAUCCUCCCCCUCCCCAUACCCCCUGGUUAUUUGUCAGAUCUUUGGGCAGUGUGUGGGCCAGUGUUAGGUGUCUUUAUUUCCUCCUCUCAUCAGUGAAUGAUUUCAGGUGGAUUGAUUUUUUUGUUUUGUUGUGUUUUGGAUGGCCAUGCCUGUGGCAUGAGGAAGUUCCCAGGCUAGGGGUCAAAUCAGAGCUAUAGCUGCCAGCCUACACCAUAGCUCACAGAAGCACCAGAUCCCUGACCCACUGAAUGAAGCCAGGGAUUGAACCCGCAUUCUCAUGGAUACUAUUUGGAUUCGUUACCACUGCGCCACAAUGGGAACUCGUGAGAAUUUUUCUUAACUUCCUGAUGAUUGGCUUUUGGGUAUUAGGGCAAAGUCUCACAAAGGUGGGAAAGCUUGUACCAGUACCAUGCUAGCUCUAUCUUCUUUUAAACAAUUUAUCAAGCUACCUUUAACUCUGGCCCCUCAGUGCUCUCUUUCCCAUGAGCUUCUUGGAUUGUUGAUAUUAGGUCCACCCAGGGUGAAUUUAAGCUAAAACUGGCAGUAGAUUCCAGGAAGCCUUCUACCUAAUAUCUACUAAUCUCUGUGGGGGUCUUGAUGGCAGAGGGAUGGGAGAAGGUGAUGAGGCAGAAAGAAAUAGUGGCUGAGCCAUUAUCCUGGUGGAUUGGGGAGAUGGCUGAAUUAUCUAGGAGAGGUUAUUAAGAGUCAGAGAAUUCUUAGUCAAUCAAAAUAUAAAAAUCUAAGACUGUAUGUGCUGUAGGCAUGUCUGGGGAGAAGCAUGGAGCCCUGUUUAAGGCUGUAGUGUGAAGCAGGGUAGCUGUUAAGGGCCCCCAUAAACAUUAGUUAGGGAAUAUCAGUCACACCCGAGGAAGGCUCUGCUCCUGUUAUUGAGGAUUGUUGAAGAAAUGAAUCAUAUUCUUGGUGAAAGAAUAGCUGUGUUUAUUCGUUGUGUUUUACACUGUAUUGAAGCCACAGCCCUGGAGAUUUAUGCUACCAGUAACUUUGUUUUAUAGAUAAGGACUCCAAGACUCCAUAAUUGCUUAAUAUCUCCAGCCAGAGUUGAAACUCAGGUCUGUCUGAUUCUGAAACCUGUGUGCUUAACCAUAUGUAUCUUGUUAUAAAAAUAACUGAGUUCCCAAUGUGGCUCAGUGGAAAUGAACCUAACUAGCAUCCAUAAGGCCUUGCUCAGUGGGUUAAGGAUCUGGCAUUGUUGUGAGCUGUGACAUAGGUCACAGGCUAGAUUUGGAUCCUGUGUGGCUGUGGCAUAGGCCAGCAGCCACAGCUCUCACUCGAUCCCUUGCCUUGGAACCUUCGUAUGCCAUGGGUGCAGCCCUAAAAAUACAAAUACAAAUACUACUACUACUAAUAGUAACUGUAUGUGACUAAUUUACAAAGCUGAAAAUUAUAGUUCAGUUUAUGAUGCCGAGAGCAAGCAAAACACUGUAAAAGGCUUUGGCAGGUUAAUUGGGUAGUACUUACUUGGGGAAGAUGACUUUAGGAACAGUUGUAGCAUGAGAGAAUGAUACAUAGCUUUUUCCUUUGCAUAGAUUUAGAGGAUCUUGAGAUGCCUUUGAAUUUGGGUAGUCUGCCCAUAGAGUCUCUGCUCAGCUGCAGCCCUGUGGAUUGGCAGAGCAGGGUUUUUUGAUGAGAAGGCUGGACCUUAGUAUUCAAGGCCAGGAGAUGAUAGUGCCAGUUCUGAAACAUGGCACCCUUCUCUUUUCUCUUGACCAGCUCACAGAAUGGCUUUUAGAAUAGCAUUAUUGUUUUCCAUAUAUCUAAUAUGGACCUGGUCAGGAGAAAGGAACCCUGUCAUUAGGUAACAAAGUCUCAUUAGCUUGAUCCAAAUAAAGGGAAGUGAUUGGGAUUCUGGAGCUACAUCUUCUCCCCAAAGGUCAGGGGUCUUCACACUGUUUUGAGUAUAGGUAGUAAACUCAUUAACUUCAAUUCAUGUUUGCAUUAGUGAUUUCACUUGAUCUUCAAUACAACCCUGUAAGCGAGGCAGGAUAGUAUCAUUUGUCAGAUGGCGAGACUGAGGUUAAGCAACUUGGGCUUUGUCCCUCUCUUGAUCUUUGACCUUAAGCAAGUAAUUUAAACCCAAGCUUUGCUUUCUCCUCUGUAAAAUGAAAAUAACUAUACUUUCUUUGCCUGAGAGUCUUGAGAGAAUGAAAUGCUGUAUGUAAAACACUUAGCACAGUGCUUGGCAAGUAGUAGAUGCUCAGCAGUACGUGGAAUGGAUUGAAGCUAUCUGUCAUCACCAUCACCACUGGCUCACUUUAUUUAAACUGGGGCCAGAGACCCCUGUUGGCUUCUGGGUCUUAGGCUGCUAAAUGAGUGAGGAGCCCUCAGCCCCAUUGCCAGGAGAAGGAAAGACUGAGGAAGCCUGAGUAUAUCAUAUUAUAUAUUAUCCUUCACAUCUCAUCUUUAACCAACUCUGGAUAGGUUGGAUAUUUAUUUGGAGUACCAGACCCACAGUGGAGCCUCGGUGUCAGCUUCCUGGACUGCCUUUGUAAAGCUUUUAAGAUAAGAUCUGCACUGGUCUCGUGGGAGAGGGAUAUUCGGAUUGAUUCUGAAUCUCUUACUCCCCUAAGAACUGUGCCCUUUUCUCUGUAACUUAAGGACUUCACAGCUGUGUUGGUGUUAGGGAGUUUGGUGCUUCUCUUGACAGCUUGUGAAGGGUGGGCAGGCACCUGUGAAUUCUUCACUUGCCUCGUGAGAAUGACUUCACCCCAGGAUGUUGAGGUCCCAGUUAUCUCAUCUGCUACUAUAAAAUUCCUCUGUCUUAGAUACUAGUUUCUUUUAAGAUCAGUCUUUCCUUAACCCCUAGGGAUCUUGAACCCUGCUAAAUGUCGAGUGACUGAAUGGAGUCCUCUAUUUGCUUUUAGCUUGCAUUAUAGUGUUUGGUCUUAUCUCUCUGUUUCUUCCAUGGCAGUAAUAGCACUACUGGAAAAAGCUCUGGAUUGGGAGUUGGAGAUGCAGGUUCUAGUUGGGGCACCAGAAUUUUCUUGGACAAGUUGCUAUACGUUUUUGAGCCUCAGUUUCCCCAUAUGAAGAUAAAAUGGUUCUCUGUUCCUUUUUGGUUUGUGUCUUUUUAGGAGUAGACCUCUUUCCCCCCCCCCCAAAUAAAAUCUUGCCUAGAGCCCUAUUAUAGAGACAGAACACAGUUUGUUUUGUUCUGGAACAGAGUUGCUGUGAUUGAAGCAAGUCCAGCAGUUUUGCUGCCCCCCACUGAUUCCUUGUCCCAAACAUAGAUGUGCAUUUUGUACUUGUCUGGGGGCCUCUAGGACUCUGUCAAGAGACUUUGGACAUUGCUGGUGCAGGAUCAUCUCUACAACGCUAAGAAUUUUUUUGCUGUUGACAGGUAGGUAGUAAAAAUCUGUAAAACCUGUAUGUUAAAUGUGUAAGUAGACCAUGGAGUCUUCAAGAAGAAUUAGAUUUUCACUGAUGUAUUUGAAAGAUUCUAAAGUUUGGCUCAGUCUGUAGUGUUUUGUAUAUUGUAGUGUCCAGUAAAGACUGACUUAAUUUUUGCUUGCAGGAUAAAUAUAGUUUUUUAAUAGUGGCAGACACUUUAUUUCCCUAUCUUAUGGACCAGUUCCUUCUGGGAAUACCCGUAGGAUCCAACCAUUAAUAUAAUUCAGUAGUGGAACUAGAUUCCUUUACAGAUUUUUCUCUUGUAGGUAUUUAGGUAUUCUCCAUUACAAUGUAUAUAAUAUAAAUAGAACAUUUGCUAUUGUUAACUUAUGUUUCAGGAGUCAUUCUAGUGCCAGUUCCAUAUAGAACUUUCUAAUUUUAAAGAGGAAGAGUGGAAUAGAAAGAAAAGCAUAUGUACUUUAGAAUAGAGGGAUCUAAGUUUGAAAAAGACUCUGUCAGUAACUAGCUAUGUUUGGGCAAACUAUUACUCUAGUUUUUCAAUCAUGAUUUACACAUUUGUAAAUUGAGCCAAUAAUACUUGCUAACCUUUUGCAGAACUGUUGUAAGGAUUAGGGAUAAUGGGUCUUCCUCCCCCCAGCGAAUGUUAAGUCAGACAAAAGGACAAAGAUUAGUCUGUUAGGGAAUUCUCAUAGAAGAGCAUCCAAUUUUGUUAUAUAUAUUGUUUUAUAUGAAUAUAUAUUAUAUAUUGUUAGUGGGGUCAAAUGGUAGAUCACCCAGUGUGAUUUAUUCUUGCUUAGGCAUUUAUUCACUUCAGGGAACACUUGUUUAUAUAUUACCCAUUUUGCAAGACGUAUUAUAGAGGAAUAAUUAAGAACAUGGACUCUAGAGCCAGCCUGCCUGGGUUUGAAUCUUGGCUCCACCAUUUACCUGCUGUAUGAUCUCGGGCAAGUUAUUUAACUUAUUUUUCUUGUGAGGAUAAUACCUACCUCCUCAGGAUUUUUUUUUUUUUUUUUUUUUUUUUUUUUAAACUAGGGGACAAAUCCCUGUUGAGUCUUAUAGGAAGAGAAAAGUUAAGCGCACAGGCUGGAGAAAGGGUCUGGUAGCGUAGCACCAGUGAUACAGCUGAAAAUUUAGCAAGUGGCUGGUCUGACCCCAAUAGCGUAUUUCUACUACAUUCUGGUUAUGGACGUCUUUUCUGCCUCAUUCAAGUAUGCUGUUCGUUAAGUUUUUUUUUUUUUUUUAAACAAAUACUAGCAAUCAUAGAUUUUUUUUUUUUUUUAAUUUUCCCACUGUACAGCAAGAGGGUCAGGUUAUCCUUACAUGUAUGCAUUACAAUUACAUUUUUUCCCCCACCCUUUCUUCUGUUGCAACAUGAGUGUCUAGACAUAGUUCUCAAUGCUAGCAAUCAUAGAUUUGAGGAGAGGGGCUUGUACACCUGGAAGACAUCUGGGGUUAUCUUUAGCCCCUCUUUUACAUAUGGAGAAGGGUGAGAGUAUAAGCCUCAUUAAACAAACCACAGCAUGUUUAGUGGCAGAACCAACUGGGUUCUUAUACACACUCCUGGACUUUGUCCCUCUUACACAACAGGGAAUACUCACUUUUUUAUUUUUAUUUUUUAAUUUUCACAAGAUUUUUAUUGUUUUUUGCUGUGCCCAUGGCAUGUGGAAGUUCCUGGGCCAGGAAUUGAACCCGUACCAUGGCAGCAGCCCUGGCUUCUAAGUGACAGCUCUGGAUCCUUAACCCACUGUACCAUAAAGGAACUCUGAUACUCACUUUUAAAAAAGACUGGAUAAGCAGUUCUUGCUGGUGAAGAGUAGCAAAACUUAGCUUUUAAUAAAUUAUAGGAAAAGAAGAAAUAUGCCUACCCUAGGGAGUUAGUUUUUCCUCAGAGGUUGUGGACCAUCAGGUUCUCUGAGUGCUUGGAAGGCUGAAAGGGGAAUAACCAGUGAGGUGGGGCUGUCAGAUAGGAUUUCUCAGAUAAUAGAGUUUUUGAGCCAGGCAGGGCUCACAGGAGAGGGUGUUCCUGAUAGCUAAUGGAAUGCUGUCCUCAAGUGAUGCAACAUGCUGCUUCCAUAACAGUAAUGGGGGCUCAUUCAUAACCAUCUCACAGGAAAUGAAGGCUUAGAGUAGCCGAGAAAGUUGCCCAAGAUGAAGCUUCAAAGUAAUGAAACCAUAGUUCAGCUCCAGAUCUAUCUGAUUUCAAAGCUAAUGUGUUUCCUACAAAAUAUGCUGCCCCCUCCAAGUGUGAAUGAACAUUCUCAGAAGGAUUGAGCUCAAACUGGAGCCACGCUUUCAGAGGACCUCUGUAAAAAGAGAAAGGGCCAGGAGUUGCUGUCAUGGCUCAGCCGAAACGAAUCUGACUAGCCUC
RNAcentral lists this long non-coding RNA (6319 nucleotides) under Sus scrofa (pig). Its description in RNAcentral is "lncRNA (ENSSSCG00045031534.1)". The record is from RNAcentral. Lineage: Eukaryota; Metazoa; Chordata; Mammalia; Artiodactyla; Suidae.